AAGUAGCGGUUUCAGAAAACGUUUGACUGUUAAUCAAAAAGAGCACAAUAGUGCCUACUUAG
Molecule: transfer RNA, 62 nt
Filed under: Xenoturbella profunda
Lineage: Eukaryota; Metazoa; Xenacoelomorpha; Xenoturbellidae
Description: tRNA-Asn
Source: RNAcentral